CACGUAGUUAGCCGUGGCUUGUUUUCAGGGUACCGUCUUCGUCUCUUCCCCUGUCAAAGAAGUUUACAACCCGAAAGCCUUCUUCCUUCACGCGGCAUUGCUGGGUCAGGCUUGCGCCCAUUGCCCAAUAUUCCCCACUGCUGCCUCCCGUAGGAGUCUGGGCCGUAUCUCAGUCCCAAUGUGGCCGGCCAACCUCUCAGUCCGGCUACUGAUCGUCGCCUUGGUGGGCCAUUACCUCACCAACUAGCUAAUCAGACGCGAGGCCAUCUCUCAGCGAUAAAUCUUUGGUACAGAGACCAUGCGACCCCUGUACAUUAUGCGGUAUUAGCAGCCGUUUCCAGCUGUUGUCCCCCUCUGAAAGGCAGGUUCCUCACGCGUUACUCACCCGUCCGCCACUAAACAACUCAUUCCGUUGUCCGAAAACUCCUUCAUGAGCGUCCCGUUCGACUUGCAUGUGUUAAGCAUGCCGCAGCGUUCGUCCUGAGCCAGGACUCAAACUCU
Molecule: ribosomal RNA, 501 nt
Filed under: uncultured Oscillospiraceae bacterium
Lineage: Bacteria; Bacillati; Bacillota; Clostridia; Eubacteriales; Oscillospiraceae
Description: partial 16S ribosomal RNA
Source: RNAcentral